Long non-coding RNA from Lactuca sativa (garden lettuce), 1167 nucleotides. RefSeq lists it as uncharacterized. The record is from RefSeq and is a predicted model, not a curated record. NCBI's taxonomy places the organism in Eukaryota, Viridiplantae, Streptophyta, Magnoliopsida, Asterales, Asteraceae.
GUUAGGUCACAACUCACAAGCACACACCAGAAACCAAUAACCACUGGAUCAUUCAUUCUCCACCAUCCUCUUUCUCUCCCUAAAGAGUAGAAGCCCCAACCAAAAACCCAUUUGCCACUCACACCCCCAUUUACGGAUAGAGCGGGGGCUUAAGUUCCUAAGGGUUGUCGUUCACGAUUUUCUUAUCUGAAAGUAAUGGCCUCCGACAUCCUAUUUGCGUCUUCUUCAUCGAUGCAAACGACGUCCUCCUUUCGCCUUCUCCAUUGAUGCGAUGACCGCCAUGUGACCAAUGGGAAAAACAGGUGAUGAAAAGGUUAUAUACAAUAGAUGGGUAUAUGACUUUGUAACAGGCUGAUACAACCGUGCACAACAGGUGUUGGAUAAAAUGCAUGAAAGAUUGUUCAUAUAUCAAUGAGGAAGGAUUGAAGGAAAAGGGUGAAGGCUUUAAGGAAAACAUGUUUAUUUUUAUUCAAAAUUUGACCGAGAAAUCGUUGAUGUUUUUCAUCUCAGUUUACAAGGGUAACAAAGGCGUUUGGAAUGAUGAAAGGUCUAUGUUAUGUUGAAAGUUCUGUUAAUUGAGAAGGGGCAAGGUCUGUGACAGGCUCUAACUAACUAGCUUAAAAGACCGAGGGACUUUGGCAACAUAACACUAUUUGCAUCUUUUUUUGCUCCAGUGAUUAAUGAAACUGGUUUGCCAAAGAAAGAUAUAUUAGGUGGUUGGGUAGACUCGAAGAAGGAAUCAAGGAAAGAUAUAAUAGGUCUUUAGUUUUCUUUAUUUUUACUCAUUUUUUUUUUCUUGAUUUUCUCUCUUUUAAGCCAUAGCAGUUUGACUUUUACUACUAAUGUCACUUUGUUUUCUUUUAUCGGUUUGUUCUUUUCAAUUUUGGAAUCAAUCUCCAACAACUUUUGUUGGAUCUCCCUUGAAUACAAUAUUAAUGUCACCUUCAAAUCUACGAAGAAGUUACACUGAAGAAGCAAUACUUGUGAAACCACCGGCAAUAGGUGAGGACAUUUUCUUUGAACUUAGAAACUGAUAAUUUUUCUAUUUGGAAAUAUAUAUGUUAAAUUGCCACCUUUUAUUUUUGUACUCUUAUUAAGGUCAAGGGUUGUUUGGUACUUUUCUUAAACUAAAUGGAUUGUUAUUCCUUUGUAAUUAUAAGUUACGCU